UGUGCUUAGCACUAAGAUAAUUAGUGUCAAGUUAGCUCUUCUUUAAACUUGUUAUGCCAAUGCACCAUAUAGUCAGUUAUAACUAUGAAUUUUGGCGUAACGAGUGGUAAGUUGAACUAACGAUUAAUUAUUUUUGUGCUAAGCACGAAAUCAGUGGCGGACGGGUGAGUAUAAGCAAGGAACGUACCCUUUACUGUGGCAUAGCUCGUCGAAAGACGGGGUAACACCGCAUGACCUCGUAAGAGGAAAACGCUUAACCGCGUGGUAAUGGAGCGGCCUUGUACCUAUCAGCUAGUUGGCGGGGUAAAAGCCCACCAAGGCGACGACGGGUAGGGGGCGUGAGAGCGCGACCCCCCACAAUGGCACUGAGACACGGGCCAUACAUCUACGGAUGGCAGCAACUGGGAAUCGUUGGCAAUGGGCGAAAGCCUGACCACGCGACGCCGCGUGAGGGAUGAAGGCCUUCGGGUCGUAAACCUCUUUUGCCACCUCAUGAAGGGGUGGAGAAUAAGCAUCUACAAACUACGUGCCAGCAGUCGCGGUAAUACGUAGGAUGCAAGCGUUAUCCGGAUUCACUGGGCGUAAAGAGUCGUGUAGGUGGUUUAUCGCAUCGUACUUGAAAGCCCGAGGCUUAACCUCGGCGUUGGGUACGAGAUGGAUAGACUUGAGGGUGGCAGAGGAAAGGGGAACUGAUGGUGAAGCAGUGAAAUGCGUUGAUAUCAUCAGGAACACCAAAGGCGAAGGCACCUUUCUGGGCCUCUCCUGACACUGAGACACGAAAGCUAGGGGAGCGAAGCAGAUUAG
This 804-nucleotide ribosomal RNA is filed under the name uncultured bacterium. RNAcentral's name for it is "bacterial SSU rRNA". It matches the Rfam family "Bacterial small subunit ribosomal RNA", at positions 72 to 781 of the family's 1533-position model. The record is from RNAcentral.